RNAcentral lists this non-coding RNA (29 nucleotides) under Bombyx mori (domestic silkworm). The record is from RNAcentral. Lineage: Eukaryota; Metazoa; Arthropoda; Insecta; Lepidoptera; Bombycidae.
UCAGGUCGAAGUCAGGGGAAACCCUGAUG